GCUCACGUAGCUCAGUUGGUAGAGCGCAUCCUUGGUAAGGAUGAGGUCACCGGUUCGAUUCCGGUCGUGAGCUCCA
RNAcentral lists this transfer RNA (76 nucleotides) under Desulfofustis sp. RNAcentral's name for it is "tRNA-Thr". It matches the Rfam family "tRNA". Rfam says of the family: Transfer RNA (tRNA) molecules are approximately 80 nucleotides in length. Their secondary structure includes four short double-helical elements and three loops (D, anti-codon, and T loops). The record is from RNAcentral. Lineage: Bacteria; Pseudomonadati; Thermodesulfobacteriota; Desulfobulbia; Desulfobulbales; Desulfocapsaceae.